RNAcentral lists this small RNA (342 nucleotides) under Saccharomyces cerevisiae (brewer's yeast). RNAcentral describes it as "ribonuclease P RNA". The record is from RNAcentral. Lineage: Eukaryota; Fungi; Ascomycota; Saccharomycetes; Saccharomycetales; Saccharomycetaceae.
UAGGAAAGUCAUAAAUAUAUAAAUUAUAUUAUAUAAUUAAUAUAAUAAUAAAAUAAAUUAUAUAUUUUAUUUAUAAUAUUAUUUCUUUAUAAGAUAAAUAUUAUCUAAUAAUAUUUAUAAAGAAAUAUAUAUAUAUAUAAAAAGUCAUUAUAUAAAUUUAAUUAUAAUUUAAAUAAAUUUUAUAUAAAUUAAUAUAAUAUUAAUAAAGUAAUUAGUAUAAAUAAAUAAUAUGAAAAUAAAACUUAAUAAAUAUAUAAAUAUAGUCCAUAUAUAUAUAUUAAUAAAAAGUAAUAUAUAUAUAUAUAUUGGAAUAGUUAUAUUAUUAUACAGAAAUAUGCUUAA